GAUGAACGCUGGCGGCGUGCCUAAUACAUGCAAGUCGAGCGAACAGACGAGGAGCUUGCCCCUCUGACGUUAGCGGCGGACGGGUGAGUAACACGUGGAUAACCUACCUAUAAGACUGGGAUAACUUCGGGAAACCGGAGCUAAUACCGGAUAAUAUUUUGAACCGCAUGGUUCAAAAGUGAAAGACGGUCUUGCUGUCACUUAUAGAUGGAUCCGCGCUGCAUUAGCUAGUUGGUAAGGUAACGGCUUACCAAGGCAACGAUGCGUAGCCGACCUGAGAGGGUGAUCGGCCACACUGGAACUGAGACACGGUCCAGACUCCUACGGGAGGCAGCAGUAGGGAAUCUUCCGCAAUGGGCGAAAGCCUGACGGAGCAACGCCGCGUGAGUGAUGAAGGUCUUCGGAUCGUAAAACUCUGUUAUUAGGGAAGAACAAAUGUGUAAGUAACUAUGCACGUCUUGACGGUACCUAAUCAGAAAGCCACGGCUAACUACGUGCCAGCAGCCGCGGUAAUACGUAGGUGGCAAGCGUUAUCCGGAAUUAUUGGGCGUAAAGCGCGCGUAGGCGGUUUUUUAAGUCUGAUGUGAAAGCCCACGGCUCAACCGUGGAGGGUCAUUGGAAACUGGAAAACUUGAGUGCAGAAGAGGAAAGUGGAAUUCCAUGUGUAGCGGUGAAAUGCGCAGAGAUAUGGAGGAACACCAGUGGCGAAGGCGACUUUCUGGUCUGUAACUGACGCUGAUGUGCGAAAGCGUGGGGAUCAAACAGGAUUAGAUACCCUGGUAGUCCACGCCGUAAACGAUGAGUGCUAAGUGUUAGGGGGUUUCCGCCCCUUAGUGCUGCAGCUAACGCAUUAAGCACUCCGCCUGGGGAGUACGACCGCAAGGUUGAAACUCAAAGGAAUUGACGGGGACCCGCACAAGCGGUGGAGCAUGUGGUUUAAUUCGAAGCAACGCGAAGAACCUUACCAAAUCUUGACAUCCUCUGACCCCUCUAGAGAUAGAGUUUUCCCCUUCGGGGGACAGAGUGACAGGUGGUGCAUGGUUGUCGUCAGCUCGUGUCGUGAGAUGUUGGGUUAAGUCCCGCAACGAGCGCAACCCUUAAGCUUAGUUGCCAUCAUUAAGUUGGGCACUCUAAGUUGACUGCCGGUGACAAACCGGAGGAAGGUGGGGAUGACGUCAAAUCAUCAUGCCCCUUAUGAUUUGGGCUACACACGUGCUACAAUGGACAAUACAAAGGGCAGCGAAACCGCGAGGUCAAGCAAAUCCCAUAAAGUUGUUCUCAGUUCGGAUUGUAGUCUGCAACUCGACUAUAUGAAGCUGGAAUCGCUAGUAAUCGUAGAUCAGCAUGCUACGGUGAAUACGUUCCCGGGUCU
RNAcentral lists this ribosomal RNA (1372 nucleotides) under uncultured bacterium. RNAcentral describes it as "bacterial SSU rRNA". It matches the Rfam family "Bacterial small subunit ribosomal RNA", at positions 28 to 1381 of the family's 1533-position model. The record is from RNAcentral.